CAACCAUCUGCUGUGGCGGGAUUCAAACCUUGGUCCCCAGAACAUUAUCUGGGUCUCUGGAUUAACAGUCCAUGGGCAUUUUUCUCAUCCUCCCUGCAGUUCCUGCUCUCAUCUAUGCAAGCUGUAAGAAUCCUUUAAUGUGUUGUACAAUUGCAAGACAUGAGGUUUCACCAGCUCUACUUUCAGGAUUGCCAUAGCUGCCUCUCCUACAGCCACAGUCCAUGGUCAGGAACAGGUGCGUAAGCAUGAACUAUCUGCUGUAAGAGAUGAAACUGGCUCCUGCAACCAAGUAACCCUCCUUGAUGCUUCAAAAUGCCUGAAACUCAAGCUCUAGAUCAGCAAUUCACAGCCAAAGGUCCUUCAGCUUCAGCCGUUUAACUGCAGAUGUGGUUGCCAUGAAUUUUGUGUCCACAGUGUGCUUGGAAUACAGCUGUGAUACAUUACCUGCUGUGCCACCUUCAUUUUCCUUCAUGUAACUAAUUAGGUUUCAAAUAUGUAAUGUCACUUAAUGGUUGAUCAAUCUAAUCUUAAUGUUAUUUUUCUCUCUCCAGAUGUUCAGAAAACUGCAUAACUCCUACACAGAUGUCAUGUGCAAUCCAUUCUACAAUCCCGGGGAACUGAUUCAGUCCAAAGUUUUUGAUAAUAUGGUUUCGGGUAUGAUGGUUCAGGUCUGCUGAGGCCUGGCUGUGGAGUUCCUGCUCUCCCGUGAUCCUGUGGCUGUGUUCUGUCCUCAUUACAUUUCCAGUACAGCUUUCAGUGACACAAUAUGGUCCUGAAUAAAAUGAAACAUCACCCAAGCUGCUAUUGGAUUCAGUUUUAAUUUAUGAGUUAAAGGUUUAAUCAAGCCUAGAGUGUUUAUUACAAGAAAUGUAUAACAUUUGCAUCAAUCCAACAUGUUAUAUAAUCAUACUAGGAUCUGUGAGCAAAGUAAGUUUUAGUUUUUGUAAAUGUUGAAAUUCCCCUAAGCUCCAUAUGUCUUAACAGACUCUUUUUGAUGGUUUGAUUUCCUGGCAUGGUGAAUGGGGUGUUGGGUGGCAUGAGGAGUGUCUAAGCAGAAGGUACUCUUAUCAAGGUGAAGCAUGAAAUUUGAGAAAGGGUGAAUCGACGACAGCAGACACUGUUUUACCUUGCAUUAUAAAAGAUUCACGUAUCCUGCCUGCAGAUCUAAGGCUGUGAGGAAUUGGAGGUUGAUGUCCUUUUGUAAAAAGAAGCAGAACUGUAGAUAUGAUUUCACUUAUACUGAGGUGUUAUUUGAUUAACUGAAUCCCUUACUGAUUCUUCCAGUUCUACCACUCACUAAUUUGGGGGUAGGGUGGUGUCCUAAUUGAACCUAAGCAUUUCUUCUUCAGUAUGAGAAUUGGAAUGUUGAGGGUUUGAUAUCUUUUGUAGUAGUUUGUUAAAGAUGUGGUGGUCUGUCAAUUGUAUGUACACUUCAUUGGUGUAUCUAUUCUGAAUUAUAAAUACAGUUUGAACCUCACCUUA
Molecule: RNA transcript, 1482 nt
Organism: Rhincodon typus (whale shark)
Lineage: Eukaryota; Metazoa; Chordata; Chondrichthyes; Orectolobiformes; Rhincodontidae
Gene name: trafficking protein particle complex subunit 2L
Exons: 2
Source: RefSeq, a predicted model, not a curated record